GUAGGUGAACCUGCGGAGGGAUCAUUCAUAAUAAGUGUUUUAUGGCACUUUUUAAAUCCAUAUCCACCUUGUGUGCAAUGUCGGUCGAUCUUCUUCAUGGAGAUCGACCAAACAUCAACCCUUAUCUUUUAACUCUUUGUCUGAAGAAUAUUAUGAAUAAACAAUUCAAAAUACAACUUUCAACAACGGAUCUCUUGGUUCUG
RNAcentral lists this unclassified non-coding RNA (203 nucleotides) under rhizosphere metagenome. RNAcentral's name for it is "partial ribosomal RNA internal transcribed spacer region". The record is from RNAcentral.